UACGUAGGGUGCAAGCGUUAAUCGGAAUUACUGGGCGUAAAGCGUGCGCAGGCGGUUGUGUAAGGCAGAUGUGAAAUCCCCGGGCUUAACCUGGGAACUGCAUUUGUGACUGCACGGCUGGAGUGCGGCAGAGGGGGAUGGAAUUCCGCGUGUAGCAGUGAAAUGCGUAGAUAUGCGGAGGAACACCGAUGGCGAAGGCAAUCCCCUGGGCCUGCACUGACGCUCAUGCACGAAAGCGUGGGGAGCAAACAGG
This 253-nucleotide ribosomal RNA is filed under the name uncultured bacterium. RNAcentral describes it as "partial 16S ribosomal RNA". It matches the Rfam family "Bacterial small subunit ribosomal RNA", at positions 524 to 776 of the family's 1533-position model. The record is from RNAcentral.